This 1209-nucleotide long non-coding RNA is filed under the name Phasianus colchicus (ring-necked pheasant). RNAcentral describes it as "lncRNA (ENSPCLG00000009145.1)". Lineage: Eukaryota; Metazoa; Chordata; Aves; Galliformes; Phasianidae. The record is from RNAcentral.
AUGCCUAGUGAUUUUAAAAAAAACAAAAACAAAAAAACAGUUCAGAAGGCAAAAAGGAAAACAAUAAGUAGAAAGUCAAACGUGAAAACAAGCAGACAGGAGAAAACCGAGAGCCUGAAUCUAAUUAUUAAAGGCAACAGUCCAAAAACGAAGACAGAGUGCCGCAGCAAUGACACCACACAUAAUCACAACUCCUUAUCAGCAACGCUCUGCCUCAGAAGCGCCUUUGUGUACGCACAUGUGCACGCUGCACACCACGUAGAGCUUCCACAGCCCCAUCCCAAACACAUCCAUCAAAAACCUCUACUGACACUCCGGCACUCGGUGACGGCUUUGUCACACGUCGCUAUUUUCGUUUCAUUCCCACACCUACUGCUCCAUCAGCCCGCCAAGCAGCAGCACUUCGCGGAACUUCAGCCCAGCGGAUCUCCGCACCGCACCGCCGGGCGCUGCCACGGGCCCUUCGCCUUCCCCAAGGCUCCCACGGCUCCGCGCCCGCUUCGCGCAGAACCGCCGGGCAAAAGCACGCUCCGAACGCCGCGGAAAGCUGCCGGCGUGCCCUCGGUGCCAGCCGUCCGUAGUACGCUCUGCGCGCCGCCCGGCCAGACGGGAGGGCGAGGACUUCGGAGGGAUGCCGGCCGCCCGGAGCCGCCACGAGCAACAGCCGGGCGCGCGAAGCACGAGGAGAACCCCGCGCCCGUCCUGGGGCAGCACCCGGCCCGACGCGCCGAGUCCCUCCCUCCCCGCCCGCAGCCCCGGUACCGGGCAGGAGCAGAGGUGAGGCUGCGGAGCCCAGCUUCCUCCUUUCUUUCUUCUUUCUAUGCCGCCUUUGGGGCGAUGCCACCCUUCGGCGGCGCGGCACGGAGCGGCACCCCCUGCCCAGCGCCCCCCGGGCUGCCCGCCCCCGCCCGGGCCGGUACCCGCCGCCCGGGCCCUCCCCGCCUUUGUGCCCGCGGCCUCCCGCCGCCAGGCCCGCCCCGCCCGCUGUCAGCCGCCACCGCCUCGGCGCGGCCCCGCGGCCCCGCCGCGAGAGCCCCGGCCCCGCCGCCCGCCUACCGUGCGGCUCCGCCAUCCUCCUGCGGCUCUGCUCGGCCCCCCCCUCCCCGCCCGACCCGGCCGCCCCUGCCGGCCACCGUCUGUGCGCACCGAGCCGUCACGGGACUCCCCGCCCACGGCCCUCCCGCGGCACCGUGGAGGCGGGCCCGCUGA